This 253-nucleotide ribosomal RNA is filed under the name uncultured bacterium. Its description in RNAcentral is "partial 16S ribosomal RNA". It matches the Rfam family "Bacterial small subunit ribosomal RNA", at positions 524 to 776 of the family's 1533-position model. The record is from RNAcentral.
UACGGAGGGGGCGAGCGUUGCCCGAAUUUACUGGGCGUAAAGCGCACGUAGGCGGCUUCGUAAGUCUGUUGUGAAAUCUCCUGGCUCAACCGAAAGACUGCACCUGAUACUGCGAAGCUAGAGGACGGGAGAGGAGUAAGGAAUUCCCGGAGUAGCGGUGAAAUGCAUUGAUAUCGGGAGGAACACCAGUGGCGAAGGCGGAGUUCUGGCCCGUUGCUGACUCUGAGGUGCGAAAGCUGGGGGAGCGAAAGGG